AAGUCGUAACAAGGUUUCCGUAGGUGAACCUGCGGAAGGAUCAUUAACACGUAUCCAAACGUAAAAAACCCCCCCCGUGAACAUUCAAUCCUGCUCUUGUAACCCGCGUAGUUCGCAAUCUCUGGUAAAUCAUAGCCCGGAAAGUAGUUUUGAUUCAGAGACCUCUGGCUACGUGAGAACAUUGUUUCCCCAAGCAGUUAGUGUCUGAAAGUGUCACUGAUUGUGCAAGGAUAGCGCUUCAACGAUUCCUGUAGACCGUACACUCGGGCAGGAGCUAUGCCAAAGGGUCCCCAUGCCCCCUUAUAACCCCACAGUUUAAUGUGAAGCUCAAUGUAAUACAUUGGGUAAAAAAACCGAACAACUGUUAACAAUGGAUAUCUUGGUUCUC
RNAcentral lists this unclassified non-coding RNA (388 nucleotides) under fungal sp. RNAcentral describes it as "partial internal transcribed spacer region". The stretch from base 1 to 46 matches the Rfam family "Eukaryotic small subunit ribosomal RNA", at positions 1786 to 1831 of the family's 1831-position model. Lineage: Eukaryota; Fungi. The record is from RNAcentral.